Molecule: ribosomal RNA, 212 nt
Filed under: uncultured bacterium
Lineage: Bacteria
Description: partial 16S ribosomal RNA
Rfam family: Bacterial small subunit ribosomal RNA
Source: RNAcentral
CAGUUCGGAUUGCAGGCUGCAACCCGCCUGCAUGAAGUCGGAAUCGCUAGUAAUCGCGAGUCAGCAUAUCGCGGUGAAUACGUUCCCGGGUCUUGUACACACCGCCCGUCACACCACGGGAGUUGGCAACACCCGAAGUCGAUGAGCUAACCGUAUGGAGGCAGUCGCCUAAGGUGGGGUUGAUAACUGGGGUGAAGUCGUAACAAGGUACC